GUGCCAGCCGCCGCGGUAAUACGUAGGGGGCGAGCGUUGUCCGGAAUUACUGGGCGUAAAGGGUGCGUAGGCGGCCCUUUAAGUCGGAUGUGAAAGCCCGCGGCUUAACCGCGGAAUGGCAUUCGAAACUGGAGGGCUUGAGUGUCGGAGAGGGUAGUGGAAUUCCCAGUGUAGAGGUGAAAUUCGUAGAUAUUGGGAAGAACACCGGUGGCGAAGGCGACUGCCUGGACGAUAACUGACGCUGAGGCACGAAAGCUAGGGGAGCAAACAGGAUUAGAUACCCUGGUAGUCCUAGCCGUAGACGAUGGGUACUAGGUGUAGGGGUUUCGAUACCUCUGUGCCGCAGUUAACGCAAUAAGAACCCCGCCUGGGGAGUACGGUCGCAGGACUGAAACUUAAAGGAAUUGGCGG
This 411-nucleotide ribosomal RNA is filed under the name uncultured bacterium. RNAcentral describes it as "bacterial SSU rRNA". It matches the Rfam family "Bacterial small subunit ribosomal RNA", at positions 505 to 916 of the family's 1533-position model. The record is from RNAcentral.